GGUGUGGUUUCCGACUGGCUGAAGGAGCACGCCUGGAAAGUGUGUAUACGGCAACGUAUCGGGGGUUCGAAUCCCCCCCUCACCGCCA
Molecule: transfer RNA, 88 nt
Filed under: Escherichia coli
Lineage: Bacteria; Pseudomonadati; Pseudomonadota; Gammaproteobacteria; Enterobacterales; Enterobacteriaceae
Description: tRNA-Ser
Rfam family: tRNA
About the family: Transfer RNA (tRNA) molecules are approximately 80 nucleotides in length. Their secondary structure includes four short double-helical elements and three loops (D, anti-codon, and T loops).
Source: RNAcentral